GCGGUGAAACGGAAAUGUUUCCAAACAUUUUUCGACUAUUAAUUUUUCCCAAGGGGUAUUUUCGAAACACGUAAAAUAAGGGCUGUGUUUCGUGUAGGCUUACCCUGGCAUGCAUUUUUGAUAACCAUGUAAAUCUCUCUCGGACAAGGUGUCUUUAAUCAAUAUAUUCAGCUCUAUUUAAUCUCAGAUUCGAAAAUGCUAAUUAGCAUCAAGUAGUCAUCAUGCAAGACUACAAAUCCUUGCAAACUCCUGCACAUCAUCUCUAGCUGACACAUUUGCUAACAGGCUGGAACCAAUAUGGCUGAAUAUCUCAACCAGACGACCAAAAGAACAAUAGACCCCAACGUUCUGACUCUCUGGGACAAUUGCCUCUACUCCCUGCCAUUCACCAUCGUGAAUGGUCAGGCUUUGGAGCAGAAAACAUUUUGUUUCGUUGUUGUUGUUGUUGUUUUAUAUGAAUUCAUAUUGAAAAUGUAUACCUGGUAGUGGUUG
Long non-coding RNA from Oncorhynchus kisutch (coho salmon), 492 nucleotides. RefSeq lists it as uncharacterized. The record is from RefSeq and is a predicted model, not a curated record. NCBI's taxonomy places the organism in Eukaryota, Metazoa, Chordata, Actinopteri, Salmoniformes, Salmonidae. The transcript is spliced from 2 exons.